Molecule: long non-coding RNA, 1671 nt
Organism: Mastomys coucha (southern multimammate mouse)
Lineage: Eukaryota; Metazoa; Chordata; Mammalia; Rodentia; Muridae
Exons: 4
Source: RefSeq, a predicted model, not a curated record
GGAGGGGGAGGAGAGGGAAGAUGGAGGAGGGUGGGAGGAGCUGGAGUUAGAGGCAAAGAGAAGAGUGAGAGAAGGGAGGGAGGGAGGGAGAAGGGAAGAGGGGGCAGAAGGGUGGGACGUGCAGAGGAAGAUGGUCCAAGAGCAGGAACACAGGUCCACAGUAGGCUAGCUACAGGGAUUACCUUCUUCAUAGGAGGACAAAGAUCACAGGCACAGAGACUAUGUACAGAAGGGGGCCAGCCUCUAUCUCCCCAGUGGACAUUGUCUGUCCUCCUUAGAGAGCUCAGCUGGGCAAGAGCACAGUAGCUUCAGACUCAAGCCUUCUAUCUUCAGAUCCUGGCCACGGUUUUCACUCACUGAUGCCUCCAUUUCCCCACCUGAAAGUCAGAGGUGGCACCCUUCCCCUCCUUCAUGGUGGAGCAGCAGGCAGUGCGUUGACUACUUCCCAGUUACAACCAGCAGAGAAAGGAACAGAUCAGCCAACCAACAACAAAGGAAGUAGACCCAGGAGCAGGGACAGAAAGGGGGUAUUCCAGAGCCUCUAAGUCACUGGGAGAGGAGGCAAGGCGCUGCACUAUGGCUUGAAGCCCCUAGGCAACAUGAGUAGAAAGGAAGCUAGGCCACAGUAACUGGGCUAUGCUAAUGCACCUUUAGUAAAUGGGGAAAUCCCAGUGGGGCCAUAUUCCAAGUGUGACCUAGUGGAUGGGGAGUCAACACUGUACAAGAAGCUAACGCCGUAAGUGAUGGAAAUGAGUCCGUGUGAGGGAGCCCUGGUGCCUGCAAAGCCAGCUGUGCACCAUCAUGUGCUGUGCACGGUCCUCCUGCCAAGAGGAUGCCCGAUCCAGAUCCAAAAUGCUGGCCUGUGCCCAGCAUCUUGGGGGAGAUGUCUGCUGUCCCAGCCAUGGCAGCAAUCCAUCAACCCCCACAGAAAGCAAGUAGUGAACCUCAUCUAGAUCUCCAAGUGUUCAUCCCUGUGUCCAGAGCUCUCAUAGGGACCACCUGCUGAGGAAAUGCCAUCUCAACUCACUGGAUGUUGAAAACAACUGCAGCAAUCCCCACAUAUUCUAGAAUAGCCACUCACUGGGAGUCCUGGCCAGAGAGACUGUAGAGAGGGAAUGCCUGUGACAUCAGGCCAAGAAAGGAAUCAGUAGAGAAACAAAUGUGUGUGGUCAGAAAAACCUUAGUCACCACCACUCAGGUCCCUGAUUUCAGAACAGGAAAAGGCAGAGAAGAAAUUGAGCAGAGAACCCGGGUAAACUUGCUUCCUCCUUCCUCCUUCCUCCUCCUUUCUUCUCCUUCCUCCUCCUUCCUCCUUCUCCUUCCUCCCUUCUCCUUCCUCCACAGUUUUCCAUUUUUAAUUAAUAAGUGCCUCUGAAAAGCCAUGCAGCAUGCUGCCAGAGUUCAGAGCUGGGCAUGGGCUCUGUGCCGGAGACAUCUCCAACAGCUUCUGAAGGAAAGAAGUCACAGAUCCUACCUGCUACUUACUGAUGGAGAACCUCAUCCAGCCCUCCCAGCUCCCGCAAGGCAAGCUGCAUGUAACCAAGCAAUAGGCAGAUGUCAACGAAGACCCCACCCCUGGCUCUUGUUAGCUCCCAGUGCAGCCUAGGCCUCCUCUCCCUCCCUGAUGAACACAUAUUGGAGAUUCAACUGCUGGAGAGCUAUAAAUCCCCU